UACAUCUCCUCGAGCUGUGUGGUUCAGCAUUUCUCAGGGAGCCCUUCCCCAGGCGCAUCAUGUGCUCUCGGGAGCUACCUUCUCCUCUUGUCUCCAGAAUGCUGUUCUGGACUGCUCACCGCACCACAUUAGGUAGCCAGACUGCUGGGUGUGGCGGCUGGUAUGUGGUCCCACCGCUGGAGAGGAUGGGGCAGGAGGAUUCUGAAUUCCGAGGCAGACUAGUCUACUACCCAGGAUCUGAACACAAAAAGGAACAAUCAGAAACCCUUUCACCCUUCGACUCUGAGGUCAUGGAUGGAAGGCAGUGAACGUGACCCAGAAAGAGGAUCUCUAUUAGGCACAAAUCUACUGCUGCUUUGAUCUGGGACUUUCUAGAAACUGGGUUCUACAUGGGUUUUUCAAGUUCGCUCUUCUACAGACCCCCUGCGUCUCCUCCACCCACUGAGUGCUAGCAUCAAAGGUAUAGCCACGCUCUCAUCUCCACACUUUUCCUCAUUCUCUGAAGUGUCUCUUCACUUCUUCACUGGCCCUAAAGCAGACUUUCAUUUUGGUCCUUUUGGCCAAUGUGUUUUGGUCUCUGGCUUUACUGCAGCCUUUUCUAUUUUUCAGGGAUACCUGUGUCUGCAUAACGGAGGCUCUAGGGGGUUUUGCCAGGAGACUGAAUCUUGGGAAAUGCUUAAAUAAUUUUGAAAAACAAAAAGCAAUUUUCAGAGCUAUGACCUCCCCCUUAGUCUUCAGGGGAAUUUAUCCUCUAGGCUUCUUUUCUCAGUGUUUUCUCCCUCUGGGGUCUAGGUAGGGAGCUCCCAUUUUUUCUUGUAAUGUGUUGAUUGACUCGGGGAGAGCUAUCCAGGAUGGCAGCACUCUAGGAAGCUGCUUCCUUGGUCUCCUCUGCUUUUAAUCUAACCAAAUAGCGUUUUCUCUGGCAGAUCUAAUCUGAAGGUUAGGGUGGAACAUUGGACUUUUGUAUAUCUUUGCCCACUUGAAAUGGCUUUCACCAACUCUGCUGGUGCUCAAAUGAUUUUUGUGUUUCUGCUUCUCCUAGGAAGCAAGUUGGGGGUUCCUUGAAGAGAGUCAUAGAUGGAAGAGAAGGCCCAACUCAUGAUCACAGCUCUUCUCAGUCUCCUGGAAUACUAUCUUUGUUUUCUUUCUACCUUCUACUGAUGUAGAGAAAAAUGAAAGAGGAACUGACAAGGAGGGUGGGGAAAGUAAGGUUUCUGCUUCGUUUGCCUGUGUUUGAAGAGUCCAACUACUACAUUCUGUUGUUAGUAUGCAAAGGGGAAAUGACUCUCUCUCUCUCUCUCUCUCUCUCUCUCUCUCUCUCUCUCUGUAUGAUGAUAGA
This 1339-nucleotide small RNA is filed under the name Rattus norvegicus (Norway rat). RNAcentral describes it as "uncharacterized LOC108350121". The record is from RNAcentral. Lineage: Eukaryota; Metazoa; Chordata; Mammalia; Rodentia; Muridae.